Girardinichthys multiradiatus is the source of this 821-nucleotide long non-coding RNA. RefSeq lists it as uncharacterized. The transcript is spliced from 2 exons. The record is from RefSeq and is a predicted model, not a curated record. NCBI's taxonomy places the organism in Eukaryota, Metazoa, Chordata, Actinopteri, Cyprinodontiformes, Goodeidae.
GCUGAGAACAUGGUUGCCCAGCAUACCAGGCAAGCCCGUUUGGUUUCAAAUAGAGGCAAAGGCAAAUGGUGUUAUGUCUCCUUGGAUGAAGAUAUUUGAUCCCAACCACAAACUUAGCCACCCUAUAUUUGCAACUGCAAAGUCAGUAUGGUGUAAAUUACGUAGGGCUGUCAGGAUCUGGGUUGUGUUUGUGUUUUUGUGCUUGCUACAUGUGCUCAUUUUCAGACGGUGCAGGAGCUCUCAGGUGUGCUGGGUGACAGGUGCGACUUAUUUCCACUGAUUACUCUGAGGAGUACUUAAGCAGGAGGCUGCCAGCACUUCAAUGCCAAAGUGUUUGCCACCAGUGGUACAAGCUCAAGCCAAACACUAAGUUUAUGCUUCAUUCUUCAACUUCUUGUAACUUUGCUCCUUUUGCAGAUUUAGAAAGCCUAAGCUUUGGAUCUAUGUCACUGUGUACUGACUAUGUCUCUGGAAGUUACUCUGGAUGAUCAAGCCUAUCUAUGCUCUGUGAAUUUCAUAUCCUAUCUCCUGUCUUCGUUUGGAUUCACAUCAAGCUGGCAGUUUCCUGCUCCCAUCGUCUCCUGGACCAAGCCGUAAGCGUAACCUGUCCACCCUCCAACGUAAGCAUCUGCACACCAAACUCAUUCCUGUCUGCUCCGAGCUCACACAGAACAGCACCCAAGAAACCUUCUAUGGACUCACCUUCAUUAAACCUGGAUCCUGAAUCUCUCUACUCCUGGUGUCCUGACCACAGCUACCUAUGAGAUUUUCGACCAUUAUGUUUCUGAUUAUCAUCUUCCAAAUAAACAACCUUUUACUCA